CCUUCCUUCCCUCCUUCCUUCCUUCCUUUCUUUUUGUCUUUUUAGGGCCAUAUCUGCGGCAUAUGGAAGUUCCCACACUAGGGGUCUCAGAAAUGCUGGAUCCUUAACCCACUGAGUGAGGCCAGAGAUCAAAUCCGAGUCCUCAUGGAUACUAGUCAGAUUCAUUACUGCUGAGCCACAAUGGGAACUCUCUUCUUUUUUUUCUUUUUAGGACCACACCUGCAGCAUAUGGAAGUUCCAGGGCUAGGGGCUGAAUCAGAGCUCUAGCUGCCAGCCUAUGCCACAGCCACAGCAACGCCAGAUCCGAGGGGCACCUGUGACCUACACUGAAGCUUGUGGUAACAUGGUAUUUUCAACCCACUGAGUCAGGCCAGGGAUUGAACCCACAUCCUCAUGGAUACUAGUCAGGUUCUUAACCCACUGAGCCACAAUGGGAACUCCAGAAGGAUGCCUUGGGACCUAUCACUGCCAUUCCAGAAAUAUCCAGACUGAAACGCUCUUCCUCUUGUAAUGAACAAGGGAGAGGCUUCUUACAUUUCUAAACUCCUGCCAUUUCCAGGUCGAACAUAAAGUUUGGUUGUGCCCGGAAGGUGGCAGCCAUCUGGGCACCAGUGAAACUGACUUCGCCCAAGACUGAGAGUGGAUUUUUUUCCCCAGCUCUGAAAUAUCAGACCCAAUGGUUAUGCACACAGCGGAUCCAAUUUCCCACAACUGUGCCUACGCAAGUGUGAUUUCCACAUCUUCGCACACAAUCUCACAAGGGUUGCAGACACCAAGACGCCAGAGGGGCUAGUACCUGGGAACUGGGAAAUCAGGGAAAGUCAACUAUCUCCAUAACGAAAUUCCUGCAGAGGAAGGAAGUCGAAGUUUCCAGUCUUAUAAGGACCAAUAACAUAAUUGGGGUUUUUUUCCUGUAAAUGUAGGCAAUUAUUUCCAAAUCGAUUUAUUCCAAAGUGCCUCUGACAUUGGAAUCUUUCUUCUUAAGGCUGUUAUAUACUGAGACUUGGGAUCCAAAUCUCCUUUCAGUUUUAGCUAAGGUCUGAUGAGAAUCAUUCAGCUUGGGCAGGUGGGUGGGUGGGGUGGAUAUAGGAUGAGAAGCCAGGAAUAACUGAACCUAAGGUUCCCAUUGCUCUCCACACAUCUGUCCAGAUGGGCCUCAAAUACAUAAGAUGAAAACUGCCAAUGCUCUGCAAAUUUUGUUAGUUGUUUUUAGCUCAGAUGUUUCCAUAUGAAUUUGGCUCCAAGUCGUAGGAAACUGGAUCCAUGGGGUACUUGACAGGCGCCCAGAAAUUAGUGCCGAAAAGUAGAGCGUCGCUCAUUCAGUCCCUUUUGCAGAGGCCACGGCAAUGGCUGAGAUGAGCCCCUCUGUCUUUUUAGUCAGAGAAAUUUCAGAGGGGAGAAGCUGCAAGAUUUACAGCCACAUUCACAAUUUGCGAAGUGUGGCUUGACUUUGAAGUUUGAGAACAGACAUUGAGAAGGUGCGAGUUUCCAUGAGGUCAGGGGCUCCUACCCUCAUGUUAAGGUCAGAAGCCUGUGAUCGAGCCCUGAAAAGGCAGCUAUUGACUGUUCUAGGCAUCAAACUCACGUCUGUCGUGCUGCUUUCAAUGUGCCAAGUGCAGUUUUUUCUCUCUUUGCCAUGAAUUAUCUGUAUGGUUUGCUCCAUUAUUUCCUUCAAGAAUCCACUCAAAUAUCACUUUAUCAGAGAGGCUUUCCUGGACCCCAGCACAUAAAAUAGCCAACACGCCCAUUGUCCAGUCUUUUACCCCAGAACAUGCUUCCCCAUCCUGAGUUUUAUUUUCUUUCGCACUACUUUUGUUUAUCUUGCAUUUCUAGACCCCAUAGCAGUAUUUCUAGACCCUGUAACAGUAACUAACAUUGCAAUAGGUAUUCAGUACAUGUUUAUCGAAUGAUUCAGGUGACUCGAUGGCUAGAUUGGAAGGGGAUGCCCAAAAUGUGGGAAACACAUCUUACAGAAGCCAAAAUUUUAUGAUGGUUUUAUGAAUGUUUAAGAAACAUGUGAGGAAUCUUUCUUGAAAAAUGGCAGAUAAAACAAGAAGCAUUUACAUUUUACUGGGGAAAGUAUUACUCUAGUGGCUUCAUCUAGUUUAGUGCUAAAAAAUAUUGACAAUCUGAGCGAAGCUGUGGUCCUUCACUACCUUCGUCUUCUAUCUCAUUAGAAAUCAGAAGUUUAACGAGGUUUUUUUGUUUUGUUUUUUUUUGUCUUUUUUAGGGUCGCACCUGCGGCACAUGGAGGUUCCCAGGCUAGGGGUCCAAUCGGAGCUGUAGCCACCAGCCUACGCCAGAGCCACAGCAACACAGGAUCUGAGCCACAUCUGCGACCUGCACCACAGCUCACAGCAACACUGGAUCCUUAACCCACUGUGCGAGGCCAGGGAUCGAACCCGCCACCUCAUGGUUCCUAGUCG
RNAcentral lists this long non-coding RNA (2426 nucleotides) under Sus scrofa (pig). RNAcentral describes it as "lncRNA (ENSSSCG00000061259.1)". The record is from RNAcentral. Lineage: Eukaryota; Metazoa; Chordata; Mammalia; Artiodactyla; Suidae.